UGGUCAAGUUAUUAAGGGUGCAGGGCGGAUGCCUUGGCACUAGGAGCCGAUGAAGGACGUGAUAAGCUGCGAUAAGCUUCGGGGAGUUGCACGUAAACUUUGAUCCGAAGAUUUCCGAAUGAGGAAACUCACUUAGAGUAAUGUCUAAGUAUCAUUAAGUGAAUACAUAGCUUAAUGAGGGGAACUCAGGGAACUGAAACAUCUAAGUACCUGAAGGAGAGAAAGAAAUUCGAUUCCGUAAGUAGCGGCGAGCGAACGCGGAUUAGCCCAAACCAAUAAAGUUUUCUUUAUUGGGGUUGCGGACAUAUCAUAACGAAGAGGUAUCGUAAUUGAAGAGGUUUGGAAAGACCCACCACAGAAGGUAAUAGUCCUGUAUGUUAAACGAGAAGACUUCAGAUAUGAUCCAGAGUACCACGGGACACGUGAAACCCUGUGGGAAGCAGGAGGGACCACCCUCCAAGGCUAAAUACUACCUAGUGACCGAUAGCGUAUAGUACCGUGAGGGAAAGGUGAAAAGAACCCCGGGAGGGGAGUGAAAUAGAACCUGAAACCCUGCACUUACAAGCUGUGGAAGCACAUUUCUUGUGUGACCGCGUACUUUUUGUAGAACGGGCCAACGAGUUACGUUAAGUAGCAAGGUUAAGCACUUAAGGUGCGGAGCCGUAGCGAAAGCGAGUUUUAACUGAGCGUUCAGUUACUUGACGUAGACCCGAAACCGGGCGACCUACCCAUGAGCAGGAUGAAGCGAAAGUAAAAUUUCGUGGAGGUCCGAACCCACGAGCGUUGAAAAGCUCGGGGAUGACUUGUGGUAGCGGUGAAAUUCCAAUCGAGCCCGGAGAUAGCUGGUUCUCCCCGAAAUAGCUUUAGGGCUAGCCUCAAGGUGAGAGAUACGGAGGUAGAGCACUGAAUGUCCUAGGGGGUAUUGCACCUACCGAAGACUAUCAAACUCCGAAUGCCGUCAUCUUAUACUUGGGAGUCAGACUGUGGGUGAUAAGAUUCAUAGUCGAAAGGGCAACAGCCCAGAUCGUCAGCUAAGGUCCCUAAAUGUAAGUUAAGUGGUAAAGGAUGUGGGAUUGCACAGACAACCAGGAUGUUGGCUUAGAAGCAGCCACUCAUUCAAAGAGUGCGUAAUAGCUCACUGGUCGAGUGAUCCUGCGCCGAAGAUUUCCGGGGCUAAAACUUACUACCGAAGCUACGGCAUCAGUAAUGAUGGGUAGGGGAGCUUCCCAUACGGGUUGAAGCGUGACCGUAAGGACAUGUGGACAGUAUGGGAGUGAGAAUGUUGGCAUGAGUAGCGAGAUGUGGGUGAGAAUCCCACAGGCCGUAAACCCAAGGUUUCCAGGGGAAGGUUCGUCCGCCCUGGGUUAGUCGGGACCUAAGCUGAGGCCGAAAGGCGUAGGUGAUGGACAACAGGUUGAUAUUCCUGUACUACCGAUAACCGUUUGAGAGAAGGGAUGACACAGUAGGAUAAGCUAAGCACACUGUUGGUUAUGUGUGCCCAAGCAUUGAGGCAGUCAAAG
RNAcentral lists this ribosomal RNA (1520 nucleotides) under Clostridioides difficile. Its description in RNAcentral is "bacterial LSU rRNA". It matches the Rfam family "Bacterial large subunit ribosomal RNA", at positions 1 to 1533 of the family's 2925-position model. Lineage: Bacteria; Bacillati; Bacillota; Clostridia; Peptostreptococcales; Peptostreptococcaceae. The record is from RNAcentral.